This 305-nucleotide ribosomal RNA is filed under the name uncultured bacterium. RNAcentral describes it as "bacterial SSU rRNA". It matches the Rfam family "Bacterial small subunit ribosomal RNA", at positions 337 to 634 of the family's 1533-position model. The record is from RNAcentral.
ACCUACGGGAGGCAGCAGUAGGGAAUCUUCCACAAUGGGCGAAAGCCUGAUGGAGCAACGCCGCGUGGGUGAAGAAGGUCUUCGGAUCGUAAAACCCUGUUGUUAGAGAAGAAAGUGCGUGAGAGUAACUGUUCACGUUUCGACGGUAUCUAACCAGAAAGCCACGGCUAACUACGUGCCAGCAGCCGCGGUAAUACGUAAGUGGCAAGCGUUAUCCGGAUUUAUUGGGCGUAAAGGGAACGCAGGCGGUCUUUUAAGUCUGAUGUGAAAGCCUUCGGCUUAACCGGAGUAUUGCAUUGGAAACU